RNAcentral lists this ribosomal RNA (888 nucleotides) under Salmonella enterica subsp. enterica serovar Kentucky. RNAcentral's name for it is "partial 23S ribosomal RNA". It matches the Rfam family "Bacterial large subunit ribosomal RNA", at positions 634 to 1440 of the family's 2925-position model. The record is from RNAcentral. Lineage: Bacteria; Pseudomonadati; Pseudomonadota; Gammaproteobacteria; Enterobacterales; Enterobacteriaceae.
UCUGUAGCAAGGUUAACCGAAUAGGGGAGCCGGAGGGAAACCGAGUCUUAAUUGGGCGUUAAGUUGCAGGGUAUAGACCCGAAACCCGGUGAUCUAGCCAUGGGCAGGUUGAAGGUUGGGUAACACUAACUGGAGGACCGAACCGACUAAUGUUGAAAAAUUAGCGGAUGACCUGUGGCUGGGGGUGAAAGGCCAAUCAAACCGGGAGAUAGCUGGUUCUCCCCGAAAGCUAUUUAGGUAGCGCCUCGUGAAUUCAUCUCCGGGGGUAGAGCACUGUUUCGGCUAGGGGGCCAUCCCGGCUUACCAACCCGAUGCAAACUGCGAAUACCGGAGAAUGUUAUCACGGGAGACACACGGCGGGUGCUAACGUCCGUCGUGAAGAGGGAAACAACCCAGACCGCCAGCUAAGGUCCCAAAGUCAUGGUUAAGUGGGAAACGAUGUGGGAAGGCCCAGACAGCCAGGAUGUUGGCUUAGAAGCAGCCAUCAUUUAAAGAAAGCGUAAUAGCUCACUGGUCGAGUCGGCCUGCGCGGAAGAUGUAACGGGGCUAAACCAUGCACCGAAGCUGCGGCAGCGAACGUAUCACUUAAAGCGAUUCAGCGGGUUACGAUUGACGGAGCGAAGCGACGUCAAAGCGUAUACAAAGUCGAGUCGGUUUAAGGAUACGUUCGUUGGGUAGGGGAGCGUUCUGUAAGCCUGUGAAGGUGGCCUGUGAGGGUUGCUGGAGGUAUCAGAAGUGCGAAUGCUGACAUAAGUAACGAUAAAGCGGGUGAAAAGCCCGCUCGCCGGAAGACCAAGGGUUCCUGUCCAACGUUAAUCGGGGCAGGGUGAGUCGACCCCUAAGGCGAGGCCGAAAGGCGUAGUCGAUGGGAAACGGGUUAAUAUUCCC